GACAGAUCGACAGACGGGCGGACGGACAGAUGGAUGGCAUUUUCCAGCCAUUUUCCAGCCGUUUAGGAUGCCAAGAGGAUCAAUGUCAGAGUCAUAGUAGUUGCGUUGAGUGUAUCUAUAGCAACCAGUUCUAAAAUUCUAAGCUUCUACAGUUCUAAGCUUCUAAAGUUGUACGUUUCUAAAAUUUUAAGUUUACCUGCGAUCUUUGGAGAUUAUUUUCAGACUUGCAAAUUGAGACAAAUGAUUUUCCAGAGGAUUAAAUGAUGGAUAUUUUUCAACCUAAGCACAACUCAGAAGGCCACAUCUGCAGCACUGUGCAUGGUGAGGAGUGCCGUUCUCCAUGCAUCGGAGAUGUUGGCAACCUUGCCAUACAAACAAGUAAAGGAGAUGUGCAUUUACAGAAGUCUGUUAAUGAACGACAAAAGUCCAGCUUUAGAACAGGCUCACGUAAACGGCAGUUCAAGUCUCCUCGUGAAGGUGACAAUGAUGAUGACAACCAUGAAACCAUUGCAAUGAUUCGCCAGCAACUUUAUGGCCCUGGUGGGCCUUAUGAACAUAAAGUGCAAGUUAAGUCGUCUUGUGACGGUGACAAUGGCAGUAACAACUACGAAACCUUUGUGAUGAUUGACAACCAACCGCCCAUACCUGGUGGUCCUGAUGAAAAUCCAAUAGUAAAUCAGACAGACAGUGAGCCAGAUUGUUCUAACCAUGAGGAUGAGGAAGAAACUGGCACCAGUCAGCAGCCUGCAAAAAAAGUCAAGAGGAAAUGCAAGUCUCCUCGUGAAGGUAACAAUGAUGAGGACAACCACGAAUCCCUUGCGAUGAUUCGCCAGCAACUUCAUGGGCCAGGUGGGCCUGAUGGAAAUAUGAGGGUAAAUCAGACAGAAAGCGAGUCACAUUGUUCUAAAACUUCGCUCUGCAAUCUUAAACGAUGCCGGGACGACCAUGAGGAUGAGGAACAAACUGCCUUCAGUCAGCAGCCUGCAAAAAAAGCCAGGCUUGGCUCUUCAGAUGUAAAACAUCUUGAAUUAUCAGGGCCUUAUGUUGAAGAGGUUGGGCAAGGAGAUGCCUUCGGUAAGCAUCCUGCAAAAAAAACAAGGCUUGGCUCUUCAGUAAUCUUUGAUCUUGAAAUAUCGCCGGGCUUUGGUGAUAUGGCUAAUCUUCAGCAUGUUAACAGACAAUCAACGCCCAGCUCUGAAUCAGGCGAACAUAAAGUGCAAGAUAAGUUGUCUUGUGACGGUGACAAUGGCAGUAACGACUACGAAACUUUUGUGAUGACUUACAACCAACCACCCAUCCCUGGUGGUCCUGAUGAAAAUCCAAUAGUAAAUCAGACAGACAGUGAGCCAGAGUGUUCUAACCAUGAGGAUGAGGAAGAAGCUGGCACCAGUCAGCAGCCUGCAAAAAAAGUCUGGUUUGCCUCUUCCGAAUCCAGACUUAUUGCAAUGUUAUUGCAUUUAACAGAUAUUCCUAAUCUGAAGCCUGUAAAUCGACGACAAAAUCCAAUAGUAAAUCAGACAGACAGUGAGCCAGAGUGUUCUAACGAUGAGGAUGAGGAAGAAGCUGGCGUCAGUCAGCAGCCUGCAAAAAAAUCCAAGAGGAAAUUUCUGGGAGGAGCCACUCAGUGUCCCACCCUGCUUCCUGUUUCACUGGAAAUUGUGUCAACACAUCAAAUAAUGCUGGGUGUUUCAAGGCACUUCACAGGGACUUUAAGGUGAAAUAAAGUUUGUACAGAGAUUGGAAUGAGCUGCACUAAUAGGAAGAUGUGAAGGCACGAUUGAGUGAAUGUGUAUGGGGAUUAAUAAAAUAUUAGCAUUCAUCAUUUAAUCACAACUAUUAGCCAUGUAACAGCAUUAUUAUACUACAGUAUAGUUUUAAUAGUUUUAAAGCUGUUCCAGCAGCAUUAGAUCAAAAGAAAAAUGACUUCGGGGCGAGCGAUAUGACAAAAAUAUAUCAUAGAAAUGUCAGAGUAUCAUAUGAUCAAACUGCCAGCAAAACAAAGUGCUGAACUUAAACAAAUGAAAGUAAAUGAAAAAAAUAGUUUGAUGAUGCUAUAAUUAAUUUAUUUGAACUAAUUUACCUUUUUAUACUAAAUAUCUACUAUAUAUAUAUAUAUAUAUAUAUAUAUAUAUUUUUUACAUUGCUUAAAACUUCAGCACAAAAUCAGACACUUCUUCUCUAAAGGUGAUCAAAUUGGUGUUUUUUUUCAAUAUCCACGACAUAUCUCUGAAAUGGACUAACAUUAUUUAUCAUGACACUGAUCAUCAUAUCACCCAGCUCUAAACAUCUUCUUAUUCAGUAAAAGUGAUGACUGCACAGAACAGUGCAACACAUACCACGACAUACGUGCUGAGCGAUAUUCAAUUUGUGUAACGCUUUUAACUACGGACAUUGUCCCAAAGCAGCAAAGGAUAAGGAAAAAAACAAUAAUAAUAAUACUAAUGUAAAGAAGAAGAAGAAAAAUGCAUGUUUAUAUACAGUAGCUAUAAGAUAUUAUAAAAUAAAACCAACACAAGGAAGCCUCAAUGGGUCUAAAACAUUAAUUUCUAUAAUAAAAUGGGACUUGGGGAUAAAUUUGGGCUCCAAAAGCCACAAGAAAAAGAAAAUAAGAAGAGAAGGAAACGUUGUCAGGUAGUCACUGCACUACUGAAGACUCCUGUACUGUCUGGUGGAAAAGCGAGUGUAGCCCGAGAUAGAAAUCAGGACGAAUGUGUGAUGAUUGCAUUUGACCAGCCAGAGAGAAGCGGUCCAGUUUCUGUCUCCACUGUCACCUCCAUGGGGCUGUAGACACCCUUGUCCACGCUCUCCUGUCUGAUGGAUAAAACAAAACGAGUCUUCUUGAGUUAUAAUUUUUGCUAUCCAUAAAUGACUUAGAGCACAGAGCGCACUCUGAGCAUGUUACAUGGGUGUGAAGGUCUGCAGGAGACAGGAUUCACUAAUUGACUAUUCAGCCAUGAAUCAUUACAGGACAAGAGAAACAGAUGUGAGAAAUUAAACAAUAGGAUGAUAAACUAACUGUAGCUGCUUUUUUUUGCAAGAAAAUAGUCAAGUAAUCCUUCAGAACAGGUUCACAGGAACAUGAAAAUGGCAGGCUUGUUUGCUUAGCUUCAUCCAAAACCACGCAGUAACUCAUCAGCAAUGCGAAAACCCAUCAGAUGUCACUGUGGAUUAAUUCUGACAAACAGCCAAAACUGAAGAAACCAAGGGUUUUGACCAAAUUUGAGAUUUUACUGCCAAUAAUGCACUUUAUAUACAGGAUCUGUAUAAGACUGUGUAAACUGGAGCAGGCUGAAAGAACAACUUUUCAUACUUAUCUAAAGAAGUGAUGUCCUCUGUCGCCAUUUUCCACACUACACCCCAGACAUCUUCAUCUGGAUAUUCCUCAAUCGUGGCCACUCCACCAUUCCACCUGCUGCCCACAUUUUCUCCCCACAGACCAAACUGUAGCACAUAACCCUGAGAGAACAAGGAAGGGAGGAAGGAAGAAAGAUCCUAACAAUUACAAUAGGGUUCCAGUAUAUUCUGUGCUUGGACCCUAUACACUUUAAAAGGAGCACCUGAUCAUUUAUACAACUAGCCACUCAUGUGGUAGCAGAAUGCAUAAAGUCAUGCAGAUACAGGCCAAGAGCUUCAGUUAAGUUGAUCUCUGUGACUUUAACUGUGGCAUGGUUCUUGGUACCAGAUGGACUGGUUUGAGUAUUUCAGAAACUGUUGGUCUCCUGAAAUUUUUCAUAUACAAAGCACUGUGUAUUCACUCAUGUUUGCUAAUAUUGUAAACUAUAUUGUAUAUUUAACUUACAUGUUAUCUUUCUCAUUCUUUAUCAUUUUUAAAAUAUACUUGAGUAGUCUUUUUUAAUUCACAGGUUAAAAGGUUAUUAAUUCAGAAUGGCUCAGUUUUAGACUACAUUCAUCUAUUUAUUGUACUGCAUUUUGACAUGGUGUUAACCAAAUUCUGGGCCUGAAUUCUUUGGACACCGUGUAAAGAAAAUAAAACCAUACAACUGCAUUUCAACAAGAGUUUGUUUUUUUGAACCUCCAGGGGGCAGUAGUGUGCUAUUUGUGUACCAUUAUAACUGCUAGGUAGAUAUUGUUACAACUCAUGCAUUUAAAAUAUUAUUUAUAUGUAUAUUGAGCUUAUUCUAAUUCCACUAAAAGUAUGGAAUUUAACUAAUUAUAAGUAUAAAAGCAAAAGCUUUCAGUACCAGGACCACAAAGUCUAGGCUGCAGGCUGGACAGGUUGUGUCUCAGUAGAACUGUUCUAUGAAGGUUCUUUCUCACUAUUGGGUGUUAGUAUCAAUCUGGUGUUGAUUGAUUAAUAAAGGCACUUCUAUUUUUAGCUAACGCUUUAGC
RNA transcript from Ictalurus furcatus (blue catfish), 4350 nucleotides. RefSeq lists it as uncharacterized. The record is from RefSeq and is a predicted model, not a curated record. The transcript is spliced from 4 exons. NCBI's taxonomy places the organism in Eukaryota, Metazoa, Chordata, Actinopteri, Siluriformes, Ictaluridae.